CNNCCUGCCCACCACUUGGGGAUAACCUUGCGAAAGUAAGACUAAUACCCAAUGACGUCUCUANNNNACAUCUGAAAGAGAUUAAAGAUUUAUCGGUGAUGGAUGGGGAUGCGUCUGAUUAGCUUGUUGGCGGGGUAACGGCCCACCAAGGCGACGAUCAGUAGGGGUUCUGAGAGGAAGGUCCCCCACAUUGGAACUGAGACACGGUCCAAACUCCUACGGGAGGCAGCAGUGAGGAAUAUUGGUCAAUGGACGAGAGUCUGAACCAGCCAAGUAGCGUGCAGGACGACGGCCCUAUGGGUUGUAAACUGCUUUUAUAAGGGAAUAAAGUGAGCCUCGUGAGGCUUUUUGCAUGUACCUUAUGAAUAAGGACCGGCUAAUUCCGUGCCAGCAGCCGCGGUAAUACGGAAGGUCCGGGCGUUAUCCGGAUUUAUUGGGUUUAAAGGGAGCGUAGGCCGGAGAUUAAGCGUGUUGUGAAAUGUAGACGCUCAACGUCUGCACUGCAGCGCGAACUGGUUUCCUUGAGUACGCACAAAGUGGGCGGAAUUCGUGGUGUAGCGGUGAAAUGCUUAGAUAUCACGAAGAACUCCGAUUG
This 595-nucleotide ribosomal RNA is filed under the name uncultured Bacteroidota bacterium. RNAcentral's name for it is "bacterial SSU rRNA". It matches the Rfam family "Bacterial small subunit ribosomal RNA", at positions 122 to 715 of the family's 1533-position model. The record is from RNAcentral. Lineage: Bacteria; Pseudomonadati; Bacteroidota.